Molecule: ribosomal RNA, 2901 nt
Filed under: Klebsiella pneumoniae
Lineage: Bacteria; Pseudomonadati; Pseudomonadota; Gammaproteobacteria; Enterobacterales; Enterobacteriaceae
Description: 23S ribosomal RNA
Rfam family: Bacterial large subunit ribosomal RNA
Source: RNAcentral
GGUUAAGCGACUAAGCGUACACGGUGGAUGCCCUGGCAGUCAGAGGCGAUGAAGGACGUGCUAAUCUGCGAAAAGCGUCGGUAAGGUGAUAUGAACCGUUAUAACCGGCGAUGUCCGAAUGGGGAAACCCAGUGCAAUUCGUUGCACUAUCGUUAACUGAAUACAUAGGUUAACGAGGCGAACCGGGGGAACUGAAACAUCUAAGUACCCCGAGGAAAAGAAAUCAACCGAGAUUCCCCCAGUAGCGGCGAGCGAACGGGGAGCAGCCCAGAGUCUGAAUCAGCUUGUGUGUUAGUGGAACGGUCUGGAAAGUCCGACGGUACAGGGUGAUAGUCCCGUACACCAAAAUGCACAGGUUGUGAACUCGAAGAGUAGGGCGGGACACGUGGUAUCCUGUCUGAAUAUGGGGGGACCAUCCUCCAAGGCUAAAUACUCCUGACUGACCGAUAGUGAACCAGUACCGUGAGGGAAAGGCGAAAAGAACCCCGGCGAGGGGAGUGAAAAAGAACCUGAAACCGUGUACGUACAAGCAGUGGGAGCACCUUCGGGUGUGACUGCGUACCUUUUGUAUAAUGGGUCAGCGACUUAUAUUCUGUAGCAAGGUUAACCGUAUAGGGGAGCCGCAGGGAAACCGAGUCUUAACUGGGCGUUAAGUUGCAGGGUAUAGACCCGAAACCCGGUGAUCUAGCCAUGGGCAGGUUGAAGGUUGGGUAACACUAACUGGAGGACCGAACCGACUAAUGUUGAAAAAUUAGCGGAUGACUUGUGGCUGGGGGUGAAAGGCCAAUCAAACCGGGAGAUAGCUGGUUCUCCCCGAAAGCUAUUUAGGUAGCGCCUCGUGAACUCAUCUUCGGGGGUAGAGCACUGUUUCGGCUAGGGGGUCAUCCCGACUUACCAACCCGAUGCAAACUACGAAUACCGAAGAAUGUUAUCACGGGAGACACACGGCGGGUGCUAACGUCCGUCGUGAAGAGGGAAACAACCCAGACCGCCAGCUAAGGUCCCAAAGUCAUGGUUAAGUGGGAAACGAUGUGGGAAGGCACAGACAGCCAGGAUGUUGGCUUAGAAGCAGCCAUCAUUUAAAGAAAGCGUAAUAGCUCACUGGUCGAGUCGGCCUGCGCGGAAGAUGUAACGGGGCUAAACCAUGCACCGAAGCUGCGGCAGCGACACUAUGUGUUGUUGGGUAGGGGAGCGUUCUGUAAGCCUGCGAAGGUGUGCUGUGAGGCAUGCUGGAGGUAUCAGAAGUGCGAAUGCUGACAUAAGUAACGAUAAAGCGGGUGAAAAGCCCGCUCGCCGGAAGACCAAGGGUUCCUGUCCAACGUUAAUCGGGGCAGGGUGAGUCGACCCCUAAGGCGAGGCCGAAAGGCGUAGUCGAUGGGAAACAGGUUAAUAUUCCUGUACUUGGUGUUACUGCGAAGGGGGGACGGAGAAGGCUAUGUUAGCCGGGCGACGGUUGUCCCGGUUUAAGCAUGUAGGCUGAUUAUCCAGGCAAAUCCGGAUAAUCAAGGCUGAGGUGUGAUGACGAGGCACUACGGUGCUGAAGUAACAAAUGCCCUGCUUCCAGGAAAAGCCUCUAAGCAUCAGGUAACAUCAAAUCGUACCCCAAACCGACACAGGUGGUCAGGUAGAGAAUACCAAGGCGCUUGAGAGAACUCGGGUGAAGGAACUAGGCAAAAUGGUGCCGUAACUUCGGGAGAAGGCACGCUGGUGUGUAGGUGAAGCCCCUGCGGGUGGAGCUGAGACCAGUCGAAGAUACCAGCUGGCUGCAACUGUUUAUUAAAAACACAGCACUGUGCAAACACGAAAGUGGACGUAUACGGUGUGACGCCUGCCCGGUGCCGGAAGGUUAAUUGAUGGGGUUAUCCGUAAGGAGAAGCUCUUGAUCGAAGCCCCGGUAAACGGCGGCCGUAACUAUAACGGUCCUAAGGUAGCGAAAUUCCUUGUCGGGUAAGUUCCGACCUGCACGAAUGGCGUAAUGAUGGCCAGGCUGUCUCCACCCGAGACUCAGUGAAAUUGAACUCGCUGUGAAGAUGCAGUGUACCCGCGGCAAGACGGAAAGACCCCGUGAACCUUUACUAUAGCUUGACACUGAACAUUGAGCCUUGAUGUGUAGGAUAGGUGGGAGGCUUUGAAGCGUGGACGCCAGUCUGCGUGGAGCCAACCUUGAAAUACCACCCUUUAAUGUUUGAUGUUCUAACGUUGGCCCCUGACCGGGGUUGCGGACAGUGUCUGGUGGGUAGUUUGACUGGGGCGGUCUCCUCCCAAAGCGUAACGGAGGAGCACGAAGGUUAGCUAAUCCUGGUCGGACAUCAGGAGGUUAGUGCAAUGGCAUAAGCUAGCUUGACUGCGAGCGUGACGGCGCGAGCAGGUGCGAAAGCAGGUCAUAGUGAUCCGGUGGUUCUGAAUGGAAGGGCCAUCGCUCAACGGAUAAAAGGUACUCCGGGGAUAACAGGCUGAUACCGCCCAAGAGUUCAUAUCGACGGCGGUGUUUGGCACCUCGAUGUCGGCUCAUCACAUCCUGGGGCUGAAGUAGGUCCCAAGGGUAUGGCUGUUCGCCAUUUAAAGUGGUACGCGAGCUGGGUUUAGAACGUCGUGAGACAGUUCGGUCCCUAUCUGCCGUGGGCGCUGGAGAAUUGAGGGGGCUGCUCCUAGUACGAGAGGACCGGAGUGGACGCAUCACUGGUGUUCGGGUUGUCAUGCCAAUGGCACUGCCCGGUAGCUAAAUGCGGAAGAGAUAAGUGCUGAAAGCAUCUAAGCACGAAACUUGCCCCGAGAUGAGUUCUCCCUGAGACUUUAAGUCUCCUGAAGGAACGUUAAAGACGAUGACGUUGAUAGGCCGGGUGUGUAAGCGCAGCGAUGCGUUGAGCUAACCGGUACUAAUGAACCGUGAGGCUUAACCUU